This 376-nucleotide unclassified non-coding RNA is filed under the name soil metagenome. RNAcentral describes it as "partial contains 5.8S ribosomal RNA, internal transcribed spacer 2, and large subunit ribosomal RNA". The stretch from base 1 to 120 matches the Rfam family "5.8S ribosomal RNA", at positions 35 to 154 of the family's 154-position model. The record is from RNAcentral.
GAUGAAGAACGUAGCGAAAUGCGAUAAGUAAUGUGAAUUGCAGAAUUCAGUGAAUCAUCGAAUCUUUGAACGCAUCUUGCGCUCCUUGGUAUUCUGAGGAGCAUGCCUGUUUGAGUGUCAUUAAAUUCUCAACUACACUGACUUUGAAUUGGUGUGGCUUGGAUUUGGGGGGAAAAUUGUUGUGGGCUUUUUGUAUAGUCUGCUCCCCUGAAAUUGAUUAGCGGUACCUUUGUGGAACUGUCUACAUGUGUGAUAAUUAUCUACAUCUUAGACAUCUGCUGGAAUGCUGCUUUCUAAACCUUACUUGUAUUGACAAUCUUGACCUCAAAUCAGGUAGGACUACCCGCUGAACUUAAGCAUAUCAAUAAGCGGAGGA